UUUUGUUUUCCUAAACGCUUUCGGGCGGCGGAGCCCGGUGUUCGGACGCGGGUCUGCGGGCCUGGGUGCUUGGUGCAGCGGGAAGCAGGGUUUGGGGGACAGCUCCUCUUUUGGGGGGGGGGGGGUUGCGCGCGGUAAUUGCAAGUUUGUUAGAAGCCGGGCUAGCGAGUCGAGUUCAGGUCCGAAGCUCCCGCACUCCUCACCGGGCUGGAGCAGGGUCCCGGACUGGGCUGUAUCCACAGCCCGGUGACCCCAGGUGCCAAGGCCGCGGGGGACCCGGGAGGUUUGGCGGGGGCGGGGAGCGCCCGCAGAGUUACUGCGGAGCCCCGUUUGUCCCAUAGAACGGUCAGGGGAUACGAAGGGAGGGGAUCAUCCUCGGGGCUUCUCCAACUCUCGGCCUGAGAGGGAGGACGCCCUGGGACCGGUGUCCGAGAGCGGCCGCAGGGCCACGGCCAUUCUCGCCUCGGGCUGAUUGGACGUGUGCUAAGCAGUCCCACCCGGUGGCCGUCGGCGGGGAGGAAGGAGCGCGCUGAGACACGGCGCGAGUGGUUUAGACACCCGGCUCCCGCUCAGCCUGCCUGACACGCCGUCUCCUGCAAGCAGUUCCGUGUCGGCCCCUCGGUGAAUUCCACUGUGCACAUCGCUGGGACUUCUAAUAUUUGCCUGCUAGCGAGGCAUCAUCAAACAGCUUUCUUACGUGGUACAGAGGUAUUUAGCGCGCUGCAUCCUGAGCCCCCCGGGCUCUCCACCACGCAGUCGCCUCGCAGCCCCAAGGCUUGGUCAGUUGGGACACACACGCGCGCGCACACACACACGCGCACACACACACAACUGUGAGUUAAGUGAACCGCAGCCACCACUCGGUGCUGAAGCUCCUCGAUGUUGUGUAAGGCUCAAAGGGAUGUGCUGUGUGUCGAUGAUGGAUAGGACCCUAGAAUUUGGAAAACACCCUGGAGGUAGUUCUGAACCACCAGUGAUCCUUCCUGUCCUGAGUAGAAGAAGCCUGCGCCUAGCAGCAGAAGCCUGACUUCCUUGUGUCUGGUAAAAGUUCGGACGCUGACACCUUGAAUCCACCGUGUCCCAGUCUGCCAUGGAACCACUAGAGAAAAUAAUUUAUAUUUGUGUCAAGGAAGCCUUCUGAGAAUCAAGGAGUCAACAGAGGCAGAUUAUUUUGAAAUCCAGUGGUGAAAGACGUUCAAAUAUUCAAACAAUGGUAGACCUUAGGAAAAUACUAUGUUCUCGGCCCGCUGCUCAUUUUCUGCUACUCUAGUGGAAUCCAUGUAUUUUCCAAAGUUGUAGGCAAGGGAUUCUUUCAGCAGGGGAGUGAAAAGGGUAACCUUUGUUGAGGGUCACAGGUGAAUUGGGGAAAGUGGGACGUGUGUGCGCAAAGGUCUGCAAUCCCCCUCUUUCAUAUAUGGAUGUGUCCCUCCCCCCAGCCCCCCCCCCCCAUUGAGAGUCCAUAUUGCACCUAGUGGGAGAAGCCUCAGGCAGGAGCUGUUGCAGGGUACGAAGGCAAGGUACAAGUUGAGUCUACCAGUUGCAGAGGGAAAUGCCCUCUUACAGUUCCUGACUUCAGGACAGCAAGCUUGCCCCCACCCCACCACCUGAUGCUUGGGUUAGAAACCCAAAAUGCAAUGUACAUGCUCAAUUAACGAGCGGACCAACUGGGUCUAAAGAUAGUCCAAUUACACUGAAGGCGUAUCUGUGCACCACCUGAUUUUCUUAAGUCUUUCAACUCAAUUAAACAAUUAAAAAUAGUGGGUAAAGUGUAAUAUACAUUGGUGUCUUCAUACCUGUACAAACCAGUUCUUUUCUAUGCCAAUAUCCCUCAGCCCCAAAAUGCCAGCAACAAUUGUAUAAAGAGAAAUGUUACUAAUAAAGAGUCAGGAUAACCUUUCAACAAAAAGUAUAUUUUAUCCUUUGGCAGAUACAGUCAUGAACAUUAAUCAUAGAAACCUGCAGAUAGUAGACGCUUAAUAUCAAAGCUAAUGAUUUAUUUUAUGUUAAUGACUUUCUGCCAGGGCAUAAAAGACUGCUCAUAAUGGACUCUCCAUGCUAUGUUCAGUUACUAAGGCUAAUGGGAUAAUCUUUUCUCUCCCAAAAUUAAGCUUUUUGAAAUAAAUUAUGCUGUUACUUUUCAAGGUAACUCUCAAAAAUUUACUGCAAAACUAAUCUUUUAAGAACUGCUUAAAGAAAUAAAGAGGAAGAAAAAUCCCAAAGCAGCUUUUCUAGUUCCUGAGCAGUUUUACUUAAUUAGAGAGAGAAAGUUUGCAUGUAUGCUAAUACUUCUGAACUUGUCCUGCCAAACAGUUUUAAAGUCAGCCUCCAGUGCCUGGCGCUUUCUGCCUUUUGAGACUCCGCCCUAGUGGGCACCUCCCACAAUGGAACACGUUUUUGUUGAUUGCAGGCCAAUAAUGAGCUGAAUGGUCGUGACACAUGGAGUUGUUCACUAGGAAGUUUUAAGAAGCAUGUUUACAAUUAGUUAUAACCAACAUUAUAUUUCAAUAAGAGAUAAUUUGCCUACUAAAAUUCACAUAAUGUGCUAAUCAUGUCUAGAGGUUAAUAAAGGCCUCCUACCUCACUCCCCUGAUGGCCAUAAAAGGCUAUUAUACUCAUGGCCACAGUUCAGGUACCUCGGCUGCGUGUGAAGAAUGCACCAUUGUCCCACUAAUCAACACACCGAAGGUCAGCACCCCUAAGCCCCUCAACCACCUAUUCUCUUUCCAAAAUAUUUAUUAACACCUUAAAAGCGUAUCUGUUCAUUUUCCUUAGCCUCGAGCCAGUGAAUUCCACUCCAAGCUACUUGUGAGAUCAAGGGUUUGUAACCUAAGCGAGGUCACAGAGGAGAUGAAUACAUAUUCACAUCAAUUUUCUCCCAUAAACAUGCUCCCCAUUCCAGUCAUUGACUGACUCAGUGUAGGGCUGUUGCAGUCCUGAGCGCCUUUAUAAUUAAGUAGGUGUGCUGCAGAGUGACAGUGUUUUCAGAUUUUGUACGUUAUUUAAGGAGACACUGGGAAGAAAAACAACUUUUCAACAACCAGAAUCACUUAAAGUAAACAGAGCAAAGUGGGAAAUGGGAAAGGCUAUUUAUAAUCUAAACAAGCAGGGAUCGCUGCUAGUUUAUGAACCCGAUAACAGUAGUGAAAUAUUAUUUGCUUAAUUGUUCUUUUGGCAUAGGAAAGCAAUAAUAGUAAAAGCUUCUUUAACCAUAUUUUUUCUGCACACAAAGAACGCAUUCACGGGGGAUUUCCAUUUUGCUAGAAAAUCGCACAAAUCAAUAAGCUAGCACUUAUCUGCAUUAAAAUUAGGUAGACCACAAUUUAUAGGCACAGUGAUAGUGUAGUUCUCUUGAUACCCUUGGUUAGUGUUUAAGAUAAUCCUUGCUUUUGUGUCCUCAGAGAGAAACCAAAAUGUUACGCGAACAAGAUCUCAUUUUCCCAUUUUGUAUUAUUGUCUCUGUUUUCUCUCACUCGUGUUGAUAACCUGGCGUGUGGGCGCGUGCUUGCGUGCGUGUGUCUUCCUUUUCUUAUGACUUGAGAACCUUAGAUGUUUUAAGAGAAGAAAAAGAAAUGAAACUCAACUAUGUUUCCAUCAUCAAGAGAAAUGCAAAAAGCGAACCAGGGGGAGGAGCUCCCGUUCUGUGCAGCACAUAAUGUACAAUGGUACAUUUGUCAUGCUUUAAAUAUAUAAUGCCUACAAUAAAAUAUGUACAGGCGCAGUUGUGAUCUAUGAAGUC
Molecule: long non-coding RNA, 3736 nt
Filed under: Suricata suricatta (meerkat)
Lineage: Eukaryota; Metazoa; Chordata; Mammalia; Carnivora; Herpestidae
Description: lncRNA (ENSSSUG00005023014.1)
Source: RNAcentral